RNAcentral lists this ribosomal RNA (1957 nucleotides) under human gut metagenome. RNAcentral's name for it is "bacterial LSU rRNA". It matches the Rfam family "Bacterial large subunit ribosomal RNA", at positions 1 to 1983 of the family's 2925-position model. The record is from RNAcentral.
GAAAGUAAGCAAGGGCAGACGGUGGAUGCCUUGGCUCUCGGAGGCGAUGAAGGACGUGAUAAGCUGCGAUAAGCUUGGGGUAGGUGCAAAUAACCUUUGAUCCCAAGAUUUCCGAAUGGGGCAACCCGGCUGGUAGAAGGCCAGUCAUUCCGUAAGGAAGGCGAACGUGGGGAACUGAAACAUCUAAGUACCCAUAGGAGAAGAAAACAAAAGUGAUUCCGCAAGUAGUGGCGAGCGAACGCGGAACAGCCCAAACCGAUGAUGUUUAGGCAUUGUCGGGGUAGUAGGACCACGUUGUGGCAAGAGAUUAAGGAAGUAGAACGUUUUGGAACAAACGGCCGUAGACGGUGAAAGCCCAGUAUACGACUCUUUAACGAAGCCUAGUGGAAUCCUGAGUAGCGCGGAGCACGAGAAAUUCUGUGUGAAUCAGCGGGGCCCAUCCCGUAAGGCUAAAUACUCCCGAGAGACCGAUAGCGAACCAGUACUGUGAAGGAAAGGUGAAAAGCACCUCGAACAGAGGAGUGAAAUAGUCCCUGAAACCGUCUGCCUACAAGCGGUCGGAGCAACGUAAGUUGUGACGGCGUGCCUUUUGCAUAAUGAACCUACGAGUUACUUUCUCCGGCAAGGUUAAGGGCUUCAGGCCCGGAGCCGAAGCGAAAGCGAGUCUUAAUAGGGCGUGAUAGUCGGAGUGAGUAGACGCGAAACCAAGUGAUCUACCCUUGGUCAGGAUGAAGGUUGGGUAACACCAACUGGAGGUCCGAAUGGGUAUACGUUGAAAAGUGUUCCAAUGAACUGAGGGUAGGGGUGAAAGGCUAAUCAAACUUGGAGAUAGCUCGUACUCCCCGAAAUGCAUUUAGGUGCAGCCUUUAUUUAGUAUAGCAUGAGGUAGAGCGACUGAUUGGAUGCGAGGGCUUCACCGCCUAUCAAGUCCAGAUAAACUCCGAAUGCGUGCUAUAUAUUGAUAAGGAGUGAGGGCGCGGGUGCUAAGGUCCGCGUCCGAGAGGAGAAGAAUCCAGACCAUCAGCUAAGGUCCCCAAAUAACAGUUAAGUUGAACUAACGAAGUCGGACUGCAGAGACAGCUAGGAUGUUGGCUUGGAAGCAGCCAUUCAUUUAAAGAGUGCGUAACAGCUCACUAGUCGAGGAGUCCGGCGUGGAUAAUACUCGGGCAUAAACUGUUUACCGAAGCUAUGGAUGUAGAAAUACAUGGUAGGGGAGCAUUCCAACGGCGUCGAAGGUGAAGGAUGACCUUUGCUGGAGCUUUUGGAAACGCAAAUGUAGGUAUAAGUAACGAUAAAGGAGGUGAGAAACCUCCUCGCCGAAAGACUAAGGUUUCCUGAUCAACGUUAAUCGGAUCAGGGUAAGUCGGGACCUAAGGUUAAGCCGAACGGCGAUACCGAUGGAAGAAUGGUUUAAUAUUCCCAUACUACUUUAUGGAGCGAUGUGGAGACGGAGAAGUGAAAGUCCUGCCAUCUGACGGAAUAGGUGGUUGAAGAGUGUAGAUGUAGAUUCCUGUAGGCAAAUCCGCAGGGAGAGUCGACCUUGAUAGUAUGCCGCGUGCUUGCACAAGGCAAAAUGGACGUAAUCAGGCUCCCAAGAAAAUCCGCUAAGCAUAUUCAUAAAGUACCCGUACCGUAAACGGACACACGUAGUUGGGUUGAAAAUACUGAGGCGCUCGAGUGAUUCACGGUUAAGGAACUAGGCAAAUUGACCCUGUAACUUCGGGAUAAAGGGUCCCUACUGAGAGGUAGGGCGCAGAGAAUAGGUCCAGGCAACUGUUUAACAAAAACACAUGGCUGUGCGAAAUAGAAAUAUGAAGUAUACAGCCUGACACCUGCCCGGUGCUGGAAGGUUAAGAGGAGAGCUCAUCGCAAGAGAAGGCUUGAAUUGAAGCCCCAGUAAACGGCGGCCGUAACUAUAACGGUCCUAAGGUAGCGAAAUUCCUUGUCGGGUAAGUUC